GACGAACGCUGGCGGCGUGCUUAACACAUGCAAGUCGAACGAUGAAGCUGGAGCUUGCUCUGGCGGAUUAGUGGCGAACGGGUGAGUAACACGUGAGAAAUCUGCCCUUGACUCUGGGAUAACUGCGGGAAACUGUAGCUAAUACCGGAUACUUUCCCUGGUGGGCAUCCACUGGGGAAGAAAGAAUUUCGGUCAAGGAUGAUCUCGCGGCCUAUCAGCUUGUUGGCGAGGUAAUGGCUCACCAAGGCGACGACGGGUAGCCGGCCUGAGGGGGUGACCGGCCACACUGGGACUGAGACACGGCCCAGACUCCUACGGGAGGCAGCAGUGGGGAAUAUUGCACAAUGGGCGCAAGCCUGAUGCAGCAACGCCGCGUGAGGGUUGAAGGCCUUCGGGUUGUAAACCUCUUUUAGCAGGGAAGAAGCGAAAGUGACGGUACCUGCAGAAAAAGCACCGGCUAACUACGUGCCAGCCGCCGCGGUAA
This 484-nucleotide ribosomal RNA is filed under the name uncultured bacterium. RNAcentral describes it as "partial 16S ribosomal RNA". It matches the Rfam family "Bacterial small subunit ribosomal RNA", at positions 28 to 523 of the family's 1533-position model. The record is from RNAcentral.